GAAAAAAGGAAGGACAGGAACUAGCCUCAAUCCAGCCCAAUUAGCCUUCCCCCAAGUGCAACGAGGCCAAUGACAACCAAUGAUGGAGGCAGUGUUUACAAGGACCAAUCUCUUGACGGAUCAUUUAAAAACUCUUUAAAGAUUCAGGGAAACCACCCAGCCAGAAUGUUGAUAUCAAGACAUGAUGGAUCUACUGUGUCUCCAAGCUUUGGAAUCCCAAAGCCCAAAGAGGAAGUGAGGAGCCCCAGGUCCCACCAUUAGAUCCUCCCGGACCACAGUCACUCGAGGAAGCCUACCCCACACUUACAAAGACAAGACCUCACCACACAGCAUCUGUCCUCUUCAAGAUCUGCCCCCACCAAGAUGUGUCUCCAGACCAAAACCACAGUCAGAUUGAAGCACAGGCCAGUGCAGAGGAAAUACUGAACACAGAGGAAAAAAUGGCAAGGCCCUAAAUA
Long non-coding RNA from Pan troglodytes (chimpanzee), 458 nucleotides. RefSeq lists it as uncharacterized. The record is from RefSeq and is a predicted model, not a curated record. The transcript is spliced from 3 exons. Lineage: Eukaryota; Metazoa; Chordata; Mammalia; Primates; Hominidae.